Molecule: ribosomal RNA, 762 nt
Filed under: Salipiger sp. HF18
Lineage: Bacteria; Pseudomonadati; Pseudomonadota; Alphaproteobacteria; Rhodobacterales; Roseobacteraceae
Description: partial 23S ribosomal RNA
Rfam family: Bacterial large subunit ribosomal RNA
Source: RNAcentral
GAGGGAAAGGUGAAAAGCACCCCGACGAGGGGAGUGAAACAGUACCUGAAACCGAACGCCUACAAUCAGUCGGAGCUUGACUGGACUCUAAUGACAUUCUGCGCCAUGCAGUCACCAGAACAAACUGGAGACAAUCAUGGCAGACGGAACCUUCGCAGUGCUCAUGCUGAUUGCUGGGCUCUCCGAUAUGGGGAUGAACCAUUGCGGUACCGACAACGGGUGCUUCGGCAUCUCGGACACCGGAUCGCGCGUCGGCUUUUCGGCCGGCACAGUGGUUGAACGCCGCGCCGACAAAGGAUCGGAGAUCUAUCUCCGCUACGACCUCGGAAAGAACAUCGGCCCCUUCGGCCAGGCGAUCGGCCUGUCCUACGGCGACGAAAGCGGUUCCUGGAUCGGCUAUGGCUGGACCUGGGAAACCUACUUCGGAAAGAGCCCGUUCUACACGCAGCUGCACGCGAUGCCCGGGCUCUACGCCGCGGGUGACAACUUCGAUCUGGGUGGACCCAUCGAGUUCCGCUCCGGCAUCGAGCUCGGAUACGAGGCGAAGAACGGUUGGCGGUAUGGCAUGUCCUACGAUCACCGGUCCAAUGCCGGGAUCUACGACAACAAUCCCGGAAUCGAAACCGUGCAAUUCAGAGUGAGCGUUCCACUCAACUGAUCCCAGAUGUUAUUAGUGUCCAGUCUUGUGACGGCGUACCUUUUGUAUAAUGGGUCAUCGACUUGGUCUAUCUAGCAAGCUUAAGCCGUUAGGUGUAGGCGCAG